Molecule: ribosomal RNA, 253 nt
Filed under: uncultured bacterium
Lineage: Bacteria
Description: partial 16S ribosomal RNA
Rfam family: Bacterial small subunit ribosomal RNA
Source: RNAcentral
UACGAAGGGUGCAAGCGUUACUCGGAAUUACGGGGCGUAAAGCGUGCGAAGGUGGGGAGUUAAGUCUGUCGUGAAAGCCCCGGGCUCAACCUGGGAAUGGCGAUGGAUACUGGCUCGCUAGAGUGCGGUAGAGGAGAGUGGAAUUCCCGGUGUAGCGGUGAAAUGCGCAGAUAUCGGGAAGAACACCAGUGGCGAAGGCGACUACCUGGCCCAUUCUUGACGCUGAGGCGCGAAAGCUAGGGGAGCGAACGGG